UCUGAGCAUUUCCACGGAUGACAUCACUACAUCCUCAUGACCACCCACAAUGUGGGUGCUGUUAUCAUCACCCAGAUUUUAGAGAUGAGGAAACGAACACCCAGAGACAUCAUGUCACUUCCCCCAAAGUCAUUUAGAAGGACAACAACCUACACCAGCCAAUCAACAAAGGUGCUGGGAUAAUUACCUUCCUCCACACAGUUCCCCACAUCAAAGACACAUGUGUUAACAGACACGUGGAGAAAGGUCCCUCAGGUGGGACUUGUCUGGUGGAAAUGGACCUGGGAUAGAAAGUGAUGGAGCCAGGUGAUUCUCUCUUUCUGAGAAACGUGGGCCACCUUCAGUUUCCAGGUACUCAUCCACUCCUGUUGUUUUCAUAUCCACUCUUCUCCUUCCCAGGAAAGCUAAGAAGGGCUUUUCCUCUGUCUCCCCAAUUCAGGAGGGCAGCAUGGAACACUCACCUCAAGAUCAUUCGGUAGCUCAGAGAAUUCUGAAUCUAAACCUUUGGAAAUUACAGUGGGGCCUUGACUUACGAGUUUAAUUCGUUCCGAGACCGAGCUCGUUAAGGAGCUCGUUAACUCAAAUUACUCUAUCAACUCAAUGCAAAAAAUGGGCGGAGAGACAGCUGGUAUCUCAAAAAACUCAUUAGUCGGGACACUUGUAAGUCAAGGCCCCAAUGUAGUGGCCUCUGGGUGCUUUCAUUAUUUAUAAUCAAUUGUUGAGUUAACAGACUUUUUACUGAGUGUCUCAAUGGGCCGGUAAGGUGACAGGCACCGGGGCGCACAGUAAGGCUGGGACGUGGCUCCCUGGCCAAGGCAGCACGGUGACUCAGGGGUCUCCACCUUGGGGACCUGCUUCUUCCUCUGAAAUGGGUCUCUGUUUACAUGGAUUCAGGAGAACCAAACAUACCUCUGGAUCGAGCCUCAGGAGUCCUGGAUCCCCGCACCCCCUUUGUAACUUGCCUCCUCAUAACCACACCCUAUUUCAGUGCUCUUCUCCCGAAGCAGGAAUAGCGGCCCAGCUCUGCAUUCUCUGUCGUCUGUCUCGAGCAUCGUGUGUAGAUAAAAACGAAGCAGGAGGCAGGGGUGAUGGAGGUGCCACCGUGAAAGGGCUGCGUGGUGAAGGCAUCGACUGCAGUAGUUGGAAAGGACUUCGGCGAUGCUCUAGUCAGUUUGAAGCCUGGAAUGGUACCUGGGUCUGGCGGUUCCUGGCUCAAGUUCAAUCUAAGGAGACCAGGGGCACCCAUCGCUGCAGUUCCAGGACCAGGGGCGUCACUGGACUGGUGAAUUCGUCCUGGUGGGUGGAUGGGGUCCUCAUGGCUGAGCGGCACAUGUCCCAGCUGGACACUGUUUGCCAAGAGCCAGAAUGGAACGGACUCAGAGUUAAGCCCAUCCUCGAGACACCAAAUAAAAUAAAUGUUUUGAAAUCA
This is a long non-coding RNA of Myotis lucifugus (little brown bat), 1429 nucleotides long. RefSeq lists it as uncharacterized. The transcript has 2 exons. The record is from RefSeq and is a predicted model, not a curated record. NCBI's taxonomy places the organism in Eukaryota, Metazoa, Chordata, Mammalia, Chiroptera, Vespertilionidae.